RNAcentral lists this ribosomal RNA (253 nucleotides) under uncultured bacterium. RNAcentral describes it as "partial 16S ribosomal RNA". It matches the Rfam family "Bacterial small subunit ribosomal RNA", at positions 524 to 776 of the family's 1533-position model. The record is from RNAcentral.
UACGUAGGAGGCAAGCGUUGUCCGGAAUCACUGGGCGUAAAGCGCGUGUAGGCGGAUCGCUAAGUCUGUGGUGAAAGCGCCUGGCUUAACCGGGCGAGGUCCAUGGAAACUAGCGGUCUGGAGGCCGGUAGAGGGGGGUGGAAUUCCGGGUGUAGUGGUGAAAUGCGUAGAGAUCCGGAGGAACACCAGUGGCGAAGGCGGCCCCCUGGGCCGCGCCUGACGCUGAGGCACGAAAGCGUGGGUAGCAAACAGG